Molecule: ribosomal RNA, 504 nt
Filed under: uncultured bacterium
Lineage: Bacteria
Description: partial 16S ribosomal RNA
Rfam family: Bacterial small subunit ribosomal RNA
Source: RNAcentral
AUUGAACGCUGGCGGCAGGCCUAACACAUGCAAGUCGAACGGUAGCACAGAGAGCUUGCUCUCGGGUGACGAGUGGCGGACGGGUGAGUAAUGUCUGGGAAACUACCCGAUGGAGGGGGAUAACUACUGGAAACGGUAGCUAAUACCGCAUAACGUCGCAAGACCAAAGUGGGGGACCUUCGGGCCUCACACCAUCGGAUGUGCCCAGAUGGGAUUAGCUAGUAGGUGGGGGAAUGGCUCACCUAGGCGACGAUCCCUAGCUGGUCUGAGAGGAUGACCAGCCACACUGGAACUGAGACACGGUCCAGACUCCUACUGGAGGCAGCAGUGGGGAAUAUUGCACAAUGGGCGCAAGCCUGAUGCAGCCAUGCCGCGUGUAUGAAGAAGGCCUUCGGGUUGUAAAGUACUUUCAGCGGGGAGGAAGGCGGUGAAGUUAACAGCUUCACCGAUUGACGUUACCCGCAGAAGAAGCACCGGCUAACUCCGUGCCAGCCGCCGCGGUAA